AAUAAGUGCAAUUUUAUACUGUUAAUGUCCAGCGUUUGAUCAUUCGUCUUAUCCGAAUUUUUUUUAUGAUUAGUAUUUUUGUUGUUAUAAGAUGAUAAAACAUGAAUAGUUCUUUAUGUGUGACUAAUUAUUUUUAAUUUUUUUCAUAAAGUUUUCAGAUAAGACAGACGGUCAAACGUUUGGACACAGAUUUCUACGGCUGUAUUUAUA
Oryza glaberrima (African rice) is the source of this 210-nucleotide non-coding RNA. Lineage: Eukaryota; Viridiplantae; Streptophyta; Magnoliopsida; Poales; Poaceae. The record is from Rfam.